AAGUACGAUAAAUUGUUCUGAAAUAUUCUCUGUCCAGGAGCAAGAAGUGCCAGAGGGUCAUAAGCUGAUUUUCUCUUUGCAAAGACUUCCCAUUUGGGACCAAAAUGGUGCAUCCACUCUUCUUGCUUAUGAAAUAAGAUAUUCUUGGUCUUUGGAGAAUGUUGAGAAGUCUGAGUACAGCACUCUGAUCCACUUGACCUGUUGUAAUGAUAUUCUUGCGCGGGUUAUUACACCAAACUGACCAAGUCCUCCAAGAACACCAUAAAAGAGAUUGUCUCCAGUGACAUGUAUGGCUAUGGUUGUGGCUUCAUGACAUGAUUGGUGAAUGUAUUCAAAUUCUACAUUGUUGUCAAAUAGCAAACAUUGAGUAUCUUCUAUCAGAUUGGAUGAGAGACCAGGGGGAUGGUCGUUGAUUCGUUUCAAUUGGCAUUGCACUGAAUGGCCCAUUUCACACAUGGACAUGGGUUCUUGAGGGGGUUAUAAGAUCUAUGAUUGGUUGUUUGGGACCUCCUGGGGAUAGUCCUGAUGGCCUACGAGAGUGAUGAGUUGACGUGGAGUCGCCGAAAGUCACUGAUUAGCCAACUAUGUUGCAUUGACAAGAAUGCUAUUGGGUGCACUUCCAUUUAUACAUCAACAACAGUGUUUGUAUAACAGGUUGUGAAUUUGUGCUAGACUACAACUGGUUGUACAUUUAUUUUAUUAAAAUUGGUUUGCAAAUACAAGUUUAUAUUUCUGAAGUUGUCAUGCCUACUCUAAAUAUGAAAUUGUCACCCUGACUCCCAA
Molecule: long non-coding RNA, 783 nt
Organism: Daucus carota subsp. sativus
Lineage: Eukaryota; Viridiplantae; Streptophyta; Magnoliopsida; Apiales; Apiaceae
Exons: 4
Source: RefSeq, a predicted model, not a curated record